RNAcentral lists this long non-coding RNA (1392 nucleotides) under Corvus moneduloides (New Caledonian crow). RNAcentral's name for it is "lncRNA (ENSCMUG00000019906.1)". The record is from RNAcentral. Lineage: Eukaryota; Metazoa; Chordata; Aves; Passeriformes; Corvidae.
CCCCCGCUGUCCAGGGCAGGGACUGUGCCCAUGGGAGGGACCCCCGCUGGCCAGGGCAGGGACUGAGCCCAUGGGAGGGACCCCGCGCCGGAGCAGGGAAGGAUUCCUGUCCCCGAGGGGGAAGCAGCGGCACGAACUGACCGCGACUUCCAUCCCUUCUCCCUGCCCCGCUGGGCACAGCAGGGAGGAGCCGGGGAUAAAGUGAACUCCGUGAAGGAGAAAGAGGUCGCGGGAAGGUUCUUUUCCAGGGUUUAUUUUAUUCCUCACUCUCCUGUUCUGAUCCGCUCCGUCCCAAAUCCAGUUCAUCUCCCCGCGUCGGGGCUCUUGUGGCCGCGAUGGCGAUCCCUGAGUGAGCUCUCCCUGCCCUUACCCCGAGCCACGAGGACUCGGAUCUGUUCCAGUUCCGUGCAAUUCACGGGCAUUUGGGGCAGCUGGAGCGAAGCAGCUGGAAAGCACAGCGGGCUCGAGAGGGACUCAAGCAGGGCAGGAGCCGGGGCUGCCCCGAGGGAGCUCUCCCAGCACGAACCUUCCCGGGCUCUUUCUACGGGAAUUGCGGGGAAUGUCUCCAUUCAUCGCUACAAAGCAGAGUCACAAGUGGAGCUGAGCUUUCAGCUUGAAAGGAGGGAAUCGAACGUGUGCGCGGGGACUGCUGGAACCUCGAGGUGUCACUUGGGCCUGGAUGUUUUUCCCUGCUCCUUGCAGAAGUGCCCCAGUCACCACCCAUCUGCUGUAGGCUGCUGUCUCUUUCUUCUGAAGAUGCUCCCCUGCCUCUGAAGGAGUUCCAGCCUGUCACAGGUAAUCUUUUCCCCUGAUGCAUCUGUUUAGCAAGCAGGAAAGGUAAUGCCAAACAAUAAUGAAGUGGUGUGAGACCUCCCUGAAGAAACUCUCACCCCAGCAGAAAGAUGUUUUACAAUUUAUGCCCAAAGCAUUUAUUUCUGUGUGCAGUGGAGAGUUGUGUGUGAUCUAUUCCUCUCCAUGCUUUCUCUGUCCCUCCUAGCACUGUUUCUGGUGAGUGGGGCCUCUCUUACAGUUGCUGAAUGCAAUGCAAAAAUACAAAUCUGACAAUUCCAGAUCAUCCUUUUGUGGCCGCUGUUUUGUGUCUCAGUCUUUCACCCUCUCAGCCCACUCAAUUUGAACCUGCUGAGGGAAACUCAGUGAUAGCACCUGCACACAGAAAAGCUUCAGCUGCUGAGGUAAUCUGCUAGAAAGCAAAAUGUGUACAAAUACUUUCAUUUUGAAAAUGUUUGGUGUUGGGGAGGAUUAAAGUUUGGUAAGAAAGUUUCACAGGUAUGUAGGCUUGGCAGAAAGAUCUGUGAAUGUAGAAACUGGGGAUGAGGUAGAAAAGGAAGCAAGUUUUGGUAUGGAGUAAAAGAUGUUUUGCUGAAACAGUGA